RNAcentral lists this long non-coding RNA (995 nucleotides) under Durio zibethinus. RNAcentral describes it as "long non-coding RNA (DZIB_LNC002222)". The record is from RNAcentral. Lineage: Eukaryota; Viridiplantae; Streptophyta; Magnoliopsida; Malvales; Malvaceae.
UAGUACUUGAGCUGUUGGAUUCACAGCUUGGAAACUGAAUGAACUGAUUGAUGCGCAUCAGCAGCAUGAAGUUAAGCUCCCGUAAACGUGGUUGAUUCUUGAUUUUCCAAUCCUUUCGAUACAUCAUUGUUUUAACAUGACAUCUUUUCUCAACCUGAUGGUUUUAAGAAUCCAUGAAACAAUUUGCACUUGGGCAAAAUGAGAGAGAAUUACAAGCCAUACGCUUUUAAAGAUACCAACCCAGUUUGCAGUCAAUUUAAUGAGAGAACUCAAAACAACACACUAAUACACAAGAUUAUACUGUCAAUUUCCUUGUUCCAAUUGAACAAUCAAUCAUGAAUUAUAUGUAAAUGUGCAGGGUACUUUGAACUACAUGGUUCAAAAACAAAAGAGCCAGGUACGCAUAUAAAAAAGCAGGUCAGUUACACACUCAGCCAGAACUUCAAUCCAUUACUUGACAUGUUGAAGGUCCCAUGAAUCUAUUUGCUCUCUACAGACUGAAAUUUAAAACUUUCCGAAAUUAACCCAGAAGAAUCCAGAUAUGGUUUCCCCGCUUCAGCAGUUUACCUAACCCUAAAUGUUUGUUAAUCCAAACACACCAGGGAACUGAAUAACAAAUGCAGAACACUAUUUGAAAUUUCCAAUUCAUUAUAACAAACAACAUCGGAUGACCUAAAAUAAUACAUAAUUAAUCAACAUGUGGCUACUAAAUAUAACUUGUUACAUGUGUCUUAAACGAAGUGCAAUCAAUCAAGGACCCAAAAACCUGCCAACAACCGUUACAUCUGAAGCUUUAAUUUACAACUCCAUGCUUAGGCAACCUGAGUUCUGAUAGACAUGCAUCCUUCCUUAUUGUAACUAAGAUCCCAGGUUCAAAAUUGUAACUAAGAUCCCAGGUUCAAAAUACAGUAAUUACCUGGUAUGAACUAUGAAGAUUGAAUAGCCUCCAUCAUCCUGUUAAACAGUUUCCAUCCAACUCGAGACAGGUAUUUAAG